Molecule: ribosomal RNA, 57 nt
Filed under: uncultured bacterium
Lineage: Bacteria
Description: partial 16S ribosomal RNA
Source: RNAcentral
GGGUNAACGGCCACAUUGGGACUGAGACACGGCCCAAACUCCUACGGGAGGCAGCAG